Molecule: long non-coding RNA, 8630 nt
Organism: Gallus gallus (chicken)
Lineage: Eukaryota; Metazoa; Chordata; Aves; Galliformes; Phasianidae
Exons: 3
Source: RefSeq, a predicted model, not a curated record
UACUAGCCCUAGCAGCUAUUUCUGUCAGGACAUCAUAUGAUAAUGAAUGCCACGAAAAUCUGCUUAGUUAUAUUAUGUAGACUAUUUAUAGAAAUGUUAUGUGAUAGCAAAAGAGACUAUAAGUGAUAAGAUAAAAAAAUGGCAGAAAACAAAAAAGAGGGUGAUUUUAAAAUGAUUUGAAAGGCUGACUAAAAUCACAUUCAGAUAAUUUCUGUCUUCACUGUGAAACUUGAAUUUACAGGAAUUUAUGGUUUGACUUGAGUUUAGAACAAAGAGGAAUGUUAACAGUGAUCUUCAGCAAAUAACCAUAUGGUAUGGAACAGCAGGAUGAAUAGAUGAAUAUCCAGUGUCAGCAGAGUUCAUUGAAGGUGUUGUAAUCCUAGUUGUAUAUAGUGUGCUAUGUAGAAUGCAAAAUAACAGAGCAUUUUUCAGUAUUAAUUUCAGUACUAUGGUAAUGGUAAUUAAGAACAGGUGCAUAUAAGCUAGAAGAGAGACAUUGUGUGUGUUACUAAUUAACUCCUUUACAAUAGGAACUUUACAUAAUGAAAUGCAUAAUUAAGCAUCAAUGACCAAGAUCAUUACUGACAAUUUUAUUCCACUUACAUAUAAUUCUGGCCUAAGGUGAAGCCUCACGUUUUAGUGAAACUGUCUUUCACACUGCUGCUUUUUGGUUUGCUUUACAAUUACUUUGUAUUAUAGCCUUCAAAAUUCUUCUGGAUAUUCAUUUCUAAUGUGGAUUUAUAGAUUCAAUCCUGCUUCUAGCACUAACAAUAUGGGUGAUAAUCUAAUAAAUUACAUCAAAUUUUACGACGAAUAAGGAAAUCUUGUCCAGCAUUCAGUACAGAAUCCACCCAACCAGGUUGAUUUGGAAAUAAGGUAUACUACACAUUGACAGGAGGCUGCAUUAGAGUAUGCUCAGCAAUCACCAGAAUGGAGCCAAACUGCUGAAGAGACCUUUAACCUGCUUGUGUGCUGUAAUAUUUGUCCUGUCAAUGGAGGAAACUCACCAGUUGAUACAGAAACUACAGCUAUAUUUAAGUAGCUGAGAAGGCUGGAGCCACUGCAACACUUCUUCUUGGUCAGUAAUUUAAAAAUCUUGCUGCACAAAAUGCCAAUUACACAGAGAAAAGCAUACAAUGUUCCUAGGACUAUGUUUGUCCAUGCUUUGUGACAGGGAUUUGCCUUUAAUGACUGCAUUCCCAAGAAAUUAUUUUUUACCAUGUAUUACCAGUUAAAUUAUAUAUAUAUAUAUAUAUAUUUAUAUAUAUAUAAAGAUUCCUUUGUUUGUCCUCUACUGCUUUUCUGUAAUUGGUCAGGAUAUUAAAAGGCUGUGUUUAAAAUAUUAGCAUUCAUUUCCUUCAUACAGUGAAAACUCAAAAGGGAAAUAUCUCCAGAGGUUUGGGGGCAAACUCAACAGCUGUGGAGUGAGUAAAACAGCACAGGGCAUUCACUGAAUUUCUAGUACUUCUUACCAUAAUGUGAUCUGAAUCUCUCCUACCAGAUUCUGACUUAACUGUUCCUGCUGAUACUGAAAAAAAGCUGGUCUAAACAUAGCCACUCAAAUUAACACCUAUUGAAACUGGGGCAAUUUGUUAUACUCUAAACUGUGCUCUCCAUUUUAGAAUAAAUCAAAUUCUGUUCAUUGUGCUCCUGCAUUAACUUCAUGCAAAUACACUUAUUUUCCUGCAGUUAAUGGUAACUCUAUAUUUUUAUUUUCAGUGUCCAUACAAUACCUCCUAUCUCUUCCAGUACUGAUUAUUUACAAAAACUGCCAGAAUUGCAAAAGAACCUUACAAGAUUAAGGGAUGGGGCAAAUAAAAUUGCAGUGGAAUUAAGAGCACGUGAACUACACUGAGGCAGCUCCCAUGGAGAUCUAUGAUGUCCAGGCCCAUGAAAAGACAAGAGACAAGAACAGAGGAAGAUCUGAAGUGGAGCAGCGGCAACCAUGUCUCAAGGUCCUGUGGGUGCCCAGAGGAGCUGGCAAGGAACCUGGGCAGAGGGUUUAAGGAGACUUGCAAGGAUGCAAGCAGAGGAGGGCAGCCAUGCAGGCAGGGAAGGGAAAGACUGCUUAAGGCAGGGAUGGAGUGGAAGAGUUUACAGUUUCUAUGGCUUUUCAGUUCCUACUGCUUUGAACUGAAAUUGGGCCCUAGCUUUCUCACUUGGUAAAUAUAGACAGAAAAUUACAUUUCUGUUGCCACCACUUUCUUUCCACAAGUCACUUUGUUAAUUACAGACAGAAAGAACAUCAUUGUUUGGAGGUCUAACUCUAAAAACACACCAAAAGCAAGCCACCCACUAAGCUAACAUAUGCAAUAUUAAGGGAAAUUCCAUACUUCAGGGAAAUGGAAACAUUUUCUACAGAGCUCUAAUUGGUGGCUGUUUGAGAUUGCUUAGGGGCUUAAGAGAGUACGUUAAAACUCAAAGAAAAAGAGCUGUGGAAAUAUAACAGCAAAUAUCUAUGAUAUGCAAAUGUAUUACAUCCCUGCUCAGUUUCACUGGUUAUUUUUUGGAUAUGUAUCUGUGUAGAGCUACCACAAGAGCUAUAUACUUAAAAAAAAAAAAAAAAAAAAAAAGAAAAAAAAGAUAAGGCUUCUAAAAAUGUCUUUUUAUUCACAUGUUGGUAACUUGAACUGAGUGAUACACCUCAUCCUGUUUGCAUGCUGAGUGAGAGGUCCACAGGGAAAUAGGUUCCCUUGUAGAGGACACAAAAGCCAAAUUACUUUGGCACACUGAAAAACAGAAACAUUUCUUAUUUCAGCUUUGAAGAGUAAAAGGACAUUUGAGAAAUAAAUCCAACAGAAUCCCAGUUGAUUUGGAUUUACUGCAGGGGUGCAUAGGGAUUUACAUAAUGUUUUGAGGAAAAUUACUUUUGAAAACCAUGAACUAUAACUCCAAGAACAUAAUGCAGCAGAUUGAUUAUACAAACAUAGCUCAGCCAGAGCAGCAGUUUGAUCAUAUAGGGCAAUUUUAAAAUUAGAUUUUUUAUUCACAAUUAAAGGAAGAUUUUCAAAAUAAGUAGCAUUGGGUAGUAUCACAGACAUGACUAAUAUUUACUUAAAAACAUCAUCCAAUUUUCUUGCAGAUUUGAGACUGAUCCACUAACAGCUUGCACUGGGAAUAGAAGAGAUCUCAGCUGUAAAAUUUAGAUCUGGGUCUGAACUAAGAUUAGAUGUGUUUGGACUUGAGUUUUGGAAUACAAGAAUAACACUUAUUUGGGUAGCCAUGAUUUGAAUGCACCAGAUUUUGAUGACAUUCAUAUUCAGACAAGUUUCUGCAUAACAUGAAUAUUUCAAGACUACAGGACUUGAGUUAACUCAGACACAUCCCUGCACAACAUGCAAAAUCCUCCUCAAAAUAUCUGAAAGUUGCAUUAGUUCAGCAGACUAAAAAGGGUCUUGUAAUCUUGACUUUUGUUCACAGUUUCCUUGUUGGUUAUACUUAAGAAAAGGUUCCACUAAGCAUGCACAGUACCUAAUGCUGAAAUAUAAGUGAAUGAGAAGUACAAUAAAUAGUUUAUUUUUUGAUAUGUUCUUGGUGUUCUGCAUUUCUGCAAUACUGUCAGAAAACUUAUUCUUCCACUUGCUGUUGAACAAAUAAUGGUCUAGAUGGUAACAGUCUGCAUUGCACAAUGCAUAUAAAUGACUGCAACCUAUUUUUACCCUGAAUUGAAAUCAGAGACAGUCUUGCUAACAUAUAUAGUACUUAAAAUAUCUGUCUCAGUAUUUUGCAGAUCUCUACUGUGAAAAAUAUUGAUAUUUUGUUUCUCUUCAAUUAGAAUUAAAACCAACCAAACAAACCCCUCUCCCCCCCCCCAACAAAUCCAAACCCAAAUUCAGUUCAUUCUCUUUAAGGCAAAAAAUGAAAGCACUCUUUGUAGAAGGAAAGCAGAAUUUGGAACUUUUAUGGGAAAUCCACGUAAUCUUUUCAACCCUAUAUAAAGAAAACAGAAGAGCCAGAAACAGUAUAGGGAUGGGAGAAGAAACACAACCCGGAUCCUGAAUGGUAACAUAAUCAGGAGAAAAAGACUUGCUCUCCCUUUACCACCUCCAUUCCUCUUGUGCUGCCCAUUCCCCCCAACCCUGCAGCUCAAGUGCUUUGCUAGCUGUACAUCAGAGCUCCUCUAGGCCUGCUGGCCACUCAGCUGUUAUCACGCCUGUAAAAAUAAGUUUUGUCACCCCUUCCAAACAACUCCCCUAACAUCAGUGCUGCAUAUCCUGUUUUCCUUCCACAGCGUGGGAGAGAUUUUUCUUCUAAUCUCACCUAGCUGCCAUCUCUCAGUAUUCGUUUCAUAAAUUAGUAAGCCUGAAAUGGUCAAAGCCUGAGGGCUUUACUGACUGAUCCCAUUAGAAUCAAGUUUUAGAGAACAGACUCUCUCUUGUCAGAUACCUUAUCUGACUACUAUCGAAACACAGUACAUAAAUCCAAGCACUGCCUUUCUCUGCCACUUAUAAUGGAAAGCAAGACAUUGGGUUGACACUGAGGGCACGCUAUUCCUUCAGACAUUGAAGCAGAGGAGCAAAACCUUCUACCUGUCUCUUGUGCUUUAGACCUUCCUGAAAGAUUAAGAAUAACUGAUUAAAAAAAAAAAAAAAAAAAAAAACAACACAAAACAACAACAUUGUUUGAAAAAGCUGGUGCUAAUGCUUUACCUCUAUUUCUACACUAUGGACUAUGAAAUAAGUAAUAAGAAAUAACUAAAAAUUCCGACCUAAGUAGUUCUGAAUUACAAAGAAUAAAUAUCACCCAGAACAUAAUACAAGCAUAAAAUAAUAAGUCUUUAAAUGUAAACAAUAUAUUUUUAAAAAAUAAAUACAUAAUAAAUAAAAAGAAAUAUAUAUAUAUUAAAAAGAAAUAUAUAUAUAUUAAAAAGAAAUAUAUAAUACAUAAAAAGGAAUAUAUAUACAUAAAACAUACAUAUAAUAUAUAAAAAUGAGAAACAGAAUAAUCCAAAUCCAAAAGAAUCUAUGGAACAUUCAAGCCUAAUGACAGGUGUAUCCAUCAAAAGUACACUGCAGAAAAUACAUUACAGAAGUACUAAAAUAUCUUCUACUGGCCUGAAUGCUCCUCUAUCUUUAACCCUAUUUUAAAGAGAUAUUAGGGCUACUAGUCUCUAGAUACAUUCAGCAGAAACACAUAAACUCGUCUUGUCCCUACAAGUUAAGAGAAACCAAAUGCUUUUACCUGUAACAACUGGUUGAAUUAUACAAAAAGUACGUGUGAUAACAGAAGUGCUUAUGUGACUAACAGCAACAGAACAACUGCCUUCCUAGGUCAGACAACGUGCUGUAUUGAAAUUGAAUUAAAGCAGUGGGUUCACAGCAUCUAUCCCAUCCUAAAUGAAUGUCAGCGAUUCUAAUUUUCUGAGAACAUCUCUGUGCAAAUUUUUUGUCAGUAUUUAAAAUGUUAGUUUGAUGACAACAUGACAUAACUGCCUUUAAAUGAGUGAAUAAAAAUUCUCGAGGAGUCAUCUGGAAAAAGAUUGAUCAUGUCCGCUUCAAGUGUGUACAGUUUUUCUUUCUGUAUUAUUGGAAAACAUUCUGCAUACUACCAUGCUUUGUUUUAUAUAUUUUGCACUCUGUGUUAGAGAAUAUACAUUUCCAUGACGGUUGAAGAGAUUCCUCUUCAAUAUAUUUCUUUAGUCUCUCUUGGGUGCUGUAUACUGUAAGUAACUUUUAAGAUCCUCCAGUGUGAGACAGUCUAAUAAAACAUAUUGCCAGCUACUACUGUUAAUGAAGAAUGAGAAUGGACUAUAACGUUGAGCGAGAGAGAAUUCUGUAAAAAGAGGAAAACAUACACCACCUUUGCUUCAGUGGAAUCCAAGUAUGGAAACUGGCAUGUAAUAAAAGUUGACACUGCAUUUUAUUGCAUACACACAGACACUGGUACUUACUAGGGGGUAGCUAACUGCUUCAAUUUCACACUGCAGUUUGCUGUUCUGCACUUAUGCCCCAGCACAAAAGUCCUUUGAAACAUGGGUGACAUGGAAGACACUGAGAAAAUCUACACAUGUGCAUGGGAUAGUUGCAGCUUUGUUCCCUUCCUUUACCACACCUAGAUUCACAGGCUACUUGUGAAUGAGUUCUACGUGCACAAGGCUAAUGCCUCUUCAAACUGAAGAUCGCUUAGCUGAACCGUGGAGUGCAUGAUUGUUCACAGUAAGGCAUCUGCCAAAUGAGUAGCACAUAAACUGAGAACGGAUCCUAGGGGAAAUAAUAUGUAAGAGGAGUACUGCUGGUAGAAGACAGUUUAAAAUAUUCAUAAGGCUACUGAAGAAGGCUAAGCGAAUAUUUCAUGAGGAUGAAGAGAUGUGCUCACGGAGAAAAAAAAACAACGCGUUACUGUUAAGUCAGUUGCUAGAGUGAAAAACAUACCAGCUGCUUCCACUAAGAUCAAGCUUUAUAUAUCUUGUUUCAAAAGUGUUUGCAAGUUUCUGAUAUCCCCUAAGGGAUUUUUGUCAGUGUAUUCAUGACUGAGGGAAAUCAGCACACAGUUUGGCAGAUUGCCAUUCUGUGUGCAAGAUCAAUAUAAGGCUGGAAUAAUAGAUUACUGCAGACUGUGGAAAAACCUGCAAGAUUUGCUCAGGUCACUCAAAUCUCCACCAGCACCCUAUUCACUUGAGGAAAAUGGAAAAGAAUUACCAAGCUGCAGUAUACUCACAAGUGCAGAUUUGCACAGUGACAGGGAGGCAUAUCUUUUUGACGGGCUAGAGUGUGAAGAGGGCUUUUGGAGCACCUGGAAGCACAGCAACAGGCACACAGUCCAGUGCAUCAGAAGUGACCAGUUGCUGGAGGUGAAGUUUAUCUACACCCAGUCAGCUGCUAUAGAGUUGGACUUUGCAAAGGCUGCCGGAAAAGGUAAACCACAACUGCACAGGGGCAGGAAUGAUGCAGAACUGUAAAUGCAAAUCAGGAAGAGAACAAAGGGCCAUGUUGCCAACUCAGUAAGGAUGAUAACAUCUCUGUUCUGAGCUUUGAAGAACAUCUUUGCUAACCCACAGACAUCAUGGGAACCUCUCUCCCGCCCUUUGGGUUCUGAGCAUCCUGAAGGACACUGGCUGUUAAAAAGCCUUUAAAUUAUAAUUUUGUAUGUGCUGAGAUCCUGAAACUAUCAAUUAUCUUUCAAAUGUAAAGAUCAGUUUGCUUAUUUUCCAUUGCAGACUGACAGAUUUUCUUUCAUUUUAUACUAUUAAGAAUUUACCACAAAAAUGUUACAGUUUUACUUACAAAUUAUGAGGGAAAAAAAACAUGAAAUAACAUACAAAAGUCCCAGUGCCUUCUUUCCUCUCUCAUGUUUCUUGGAAGUCUUUACUUUUUCUGUUUCUUUUCACCUUUGUGAAUUCAAACUUUCAAGGAUAUGAUAUGAAAUCCUAGUCCUGCAGCUUGUUGCAGGCAAGUGAAUUUGUCUGGUACCUACAAUAUUAAAGGGUUAAAUCUCUCCAAAGCUGUGAAUUCUGUGUGAGCACCCCAUUCGAACUGAUGCUGGUGUAGAGCCUUCAUCUUAGGAGCAAUUUGGAGAUUAGAGGUAGUACUGCUAAUUUAGAGAACACCUGAAGAUUGGAACAAUAGUUGUAAAAUAAUUAAUCAAGAAGCCUAAAUAGAAUAAGGUAUUUUAAUUUAGACAUUUGAUCAAGUCUAAUUUUAUCUGCUGGAAAUAAUGAGUAUCCUUAACAAGCUUUUGCAUUUUACAGGAUACAGUCUCUAGAGAGUAUGAUCAGAAGACCUCAGUGCAGAAUUACAAGCUAAUCCCAUGCUGACACACAUUGUUCUAGCUCUUCACAUCAAAUAUGUUGUGCAGGAGGAAAGCAGUAUUUGCAACAAUCAUGAGAAUUAGAAAUAAGUUAUAUUAAUAGUUCCCCAUCUGUCAAGAGGAAAGCAAAACCUUACUGAAAAUCAGAAGUAUCAUUAACUGAGAUUCUUUCACUCUUGCUGCUAAAUAACAUUUAAAUUUAAAGGAUAUAUCUGUGAAUAAACUCAGUUAAAUAUCAGAACAUACUCCUGCAUCAAAGCAGAUUCAAAUGUAUGCAAAAAGUUCUUCCUAACCUUACUGCAUGCUUUCUCUUUAGUAAAAUAAAUGCAAGCAUCAUAGCCUUGAAACCAUAUGAACCCAAGUCACCCGCACAUCCCAGAAACCCUUCAAUGCGUGGUUUGUCAAAAUGCCAACAAAGAUGUGAAUUACACCUACUGCACUUAAGGUACUGGAGACAAUAUACAUGUUUGUCAGGUUACAGUGCAUGCAACAGCUCACCUGAGAGUUCCAAACAGGCUCUGUGCCUAAAACGUGUAUUGCUCUGCUUUCUGUAUCAAAACAUUCCUUUGGUACAAAAGGCUCCAAAUACGGCAGUUACAGAAGGUUUGGAGUGAUCAUCUAAUUAGCACUGAUACCUUUUACAUGGCUACUUUAACGAGGUUGAGCACAAAUGCAAUGGGGCAAAAGAAGAAAAUGUGAAACUGUAACAAUAGUUACAAAUAAACCAGGGCUUUUUGCAAGAUCCCAGACCAUGUUUCUUCUCAAAUUGCUACUAAUUAUUAUUAGAGGAAAUGAUUAUAAAUACGAUUUCUGAAAGAAGUAAAAAAAAAAAAAAAUGAGAUAAAGGGUAUUGUAUUCAUUUUUCCUAUGAAAUUUGUGAUUAU